Non-coding RNA from Nelumbo nucifera (sacred lotus), 74 nucleotides. The record is from Rfam. Lineage: Eukaryota; Viridiplantae; Streptophyta; Magnoliopsida; Proteales; Nelumbonaceae.
GGCCUAUUAGCUCUGUUGGUUAGAGCGUCGUGCUAAUAACGCAAAGGUCAUAGGCUUGAGACCUGCAUGGGCCA